CGAUCAUAGACAUCAUCUCCUUUUGUAUGUGCAGAAACGAUUUAUACUCAGAUGCGCUUCUUUCAUAACUACUGAUUAUUGGAAGGGAAAACCAUGACUGACCAACCACCUCAAAACCCAACUCUUUGAACUAAACAAUGGAACCAUUCUUGUUCACCUCACUAACUAUGGCGCCACCAUUACUUCCCUCUUCGUUCCUGACAAACAAGGUUCUUUCUUGUCUCUCAGUAUCUUUAUGUCUAGCAAGCUAUUACUUUUUUUCCUUAAUUUUGUUGUGAUUUGUUGGAGGAAAGGAUAAUUUGUUUUUUCCCGGUUUAUGGAUUAUUCUGUAGGCAAUCUUGAUGAUAUUUUUCUUGGGUUUGACUCUGUGGAAGCAAAUAUGGUCAGUUUUUAGUCAAGCAAAAACCUGUUCUGUUUGGUUUCUGAGAAAAUCGGGUUUCCUGUUCUCUAAUGACAUAUAUUGUGGUGAUUUAUGUUUUUGGGAAUUUCAAAGAUACGACUGAAAUUUCAUUUAUCUUGUCAAAAUUGAAGAUUUCUAACCGUAAUUGUUUUGAUCAGAAAGGAAAUCCACCUUAUUUUGGUUGCAUUUUGGGUCGGCUUGCAAACAGAAUCAAGGAGGGGAAGUUCUCCCUCAAUGGGAUCGAUUACUCUUUGGCUGUAAACAAUGGGCCAAACAAUCUCCAUGUAUGGUAAAGUUAAAAUUCUGACUCAUUUCAUAAAUCUAUAGAUCAACCAAAUGUUUGUGUGUGUUAAUCACUUUUUCUCUUCAUUAAGAUUUAAGAUUUGUAGCUUUAUUGAAUUUCAAACUAUUGCCUGUGAGGGUUUGGUGAAUACAAGAAAUUGGAUCCGGCAGCUUCGUAGGUUCUGCAACUAAGAUAGUUCAGUCCUUAGGUGGUUCAGGCCUUGAUUUUUAAAGCAAUUCAAUAUGAUUAAUAACUUCUCAGGAUUGCUCUUCAGGUGUAAUAAGGGAUUUGACAAAAGUUGUGUGAGAUGUUGUGGAAGAAAAAGUGGAGAACAACCAUAUAUUACCUUCAACUAUGAAAGUCAUGAUGGGGAGGAAGGUGUUAUUAAUUGUCUUGCUUUUACUUGCAUUUUUAUCACAGAGCAACUAAUUAUGCAAUUGUUCCUGAAACCAGGAUAUCCUGGAGGAGUUACUGUAACUGCCACUUGUACACUAAUUUCAAGUAAUUCAUUGCGGUUGGAUGUGGAAGCGGUGCCCAAAAGUUAGUCUACUCCAGUCAACUUAGCAUAGCACACCUAUUGGAAUUUAGCAGGCCACAA
Molecule: unclassified non-coding RNA, 1281 nt
Filed under: Hevea brasiliensis (rubber tree)
Lineage: Eukaryota; Viridiplantae; Streptophyta; Magnoliopsida; Malpighiales; Euphorbiaceae
Source: RNAcentral